This 69-nucleotide transfer RNA is filed under the name Myotis brandtii (Brandt's bat). It matches the Rfam family "tRNA". From Rfam's summary of the family: Transfer RNA (tRNA) molecules are approximately 80 nucleotides in length. Their secondary structure includes four short double-helical elements and three loops (D, anti-codon, and T loops). The record is from Rfam by way of RNAcentral. Lineage: Eukaryota; Metazoa; Chordata; Mammalia; Chiroptera; Vespertilionidae.
UGGCCGGUGGCUCAGCUGGUUAGAGCAUUGUCCUGACAUGCCAAGGUUGCAGGUUCGAUCCCCGGUCAA